This 489-nucleotide ribosomal RNA is filed under the name uncultured bacterium. Its description in RNAcentral is "bacterial SSU rRNA". It matches the Rfam family "Bacterial small subunit ribosomal RNA", at positions 28 to 501 of the family's 1533-position model. The record is from RNAcentral.
GACGAACGCUGGCGGCAUGCCUAAUACAUGCAAGUCGAGCGAAUGAUGAAGAAGCUUGCUUCUUCUGAUUUAGCGGCGGGCGGGUGAGUAACACGUGGGCAACCUGCCCUGUAGAUUGGGAUAACUCCGGGAAACCGGGGCUAAUACCGAAUAAUCCAUUCUCUCUCAUGUGAGAAUGUUAAAAGACGGUUUCGGCUGUCACUACAGGAUGGGCCCGCGGCGCAUUAGCUAGUUGGUGAGGUAACGGCUCACCAAGGCGACGAUGCGUAGCCGACCUGAGAGGGUGAUCGGCCACACUGGGACUGAGACACGGCCCAGACUCCUACGGGAGCAGCAGUAGGGAAUCUUCCACAAUGGACGAAAGUCUGAUGGAGCAAUGCCGCGUGAGUGAAGAAGGUUUUCGAUCGUAAAACUCUGUUGUGAGGAAGAACAAGUACGAGAGUAACUGCUCGUACCUUGACGGUACCUCAUUAGAAAGCCACGGCUAAC